Molecule: antisense RNA, 75 nt
Filed under: Streptomyces atratus
Lineage: Bacteria; Bacillati; Actinomycetota; Actinomycetes; Kitasatosporales; Streptomycetaceae
Description: ASpks TB sRNA
Rfam family: ASpks TB sRNA
Source: RNAcentral
CUUCAUCGAGCCGAGCCACAGCGGCCGGCCCGCCGAGCGCUCCUGCCCGUACGUGUCCACCAGGGCCUGCGCCUC